AGUCGUAACAAGGUUUCCGUAGGUGAACCUGCGGAAGGAUCAUUACUGAUUUGCUUAAUUGCACCACAUGUGUUUUUCUUUGAAACAAACUUGCUUUGGCGGUGGGCCCAGCCUGCCGCCAGAGGUCUAAACUUACAACCAAUUUUUUAUCAACUUGUCACACCAGAUUAUUACUAAUAGUCAAAACUUUCAACAACGGAUCUCUUGGUUCUCGCAUCGAUGAAGAACGCAGCGAAAUGCGAUACGUAAUAUGAAUUGCAGAUAUUCGUGAAUCAUCGAAUCUUUGAACGCACAUUGCGCCCUCUGGUAUUCCGGAGGGCAUGCCUGUUUGAGCGUCGUUUCUCCCUCAAACCGCUGGGUUUGGUGUUGAGCAAUACGACUUGGGUUUGCUUGAAAGACGGUAGUGGUAAGGCGGGAUCGCUUUGACAAUGGCUUAGGUCUAACCAAAAACAUUGCUUGCGGCGGUAACGUCUACCACGUAUAUCUUCAAACUUUGACCUCAAAUCAGGUAGGACUACCCGCUGAACUUAAGCAUAUCAAUAAGCGGAGGA
RNAcentral lists this unclassified non-coding RNA (551 nucleotides) under Candida albicans. RNAcentral describes it as "sequence contains 18S rRNA gene, ITS1, 5.8S rRNA gene, ITS2, 28S rRNA gene". The stretch from base 185 to 338 matches the Rfam family "5.8S ribosomal RNA". The record is from RNAcentral. Lineage: Eukaryota; Fungi; Ascomycota; Pichiomycetes; Serinales; Debaryomycetaceae.